Molecule: unclassified non-coding RNA, 551 nt
Filed under: Khaosokia caricoides
Lineage: Eukaryota; Viridiplantae; Streptophyta; Magnoliopsida; Poales; Cyperaceae
Description: partial external transcribed spacer 1F
Source: RNAcentral
UUCUAGACUUGCUUUGCAUGUUGGGCUCUCCGCGCUUAUGUGCGGCCAACCGACAUGGGGCUGUCUCUUCACUCUCCCUCCGGUCAGCAUGUUUGCCGGGCUGGGAUGCUUUUUUUCGGUUGCCUGUGUGGUCCUACCCUUUUGUGGUAGCGAAGUCGUCCCUUGAUAGAUUUUUGCUUGCCCUGCUGGCGUUGUUUUGUCAGCUGGGCAGCCGAAAUGUUGGUGGAAUCCUUGUGUUAUUACGUGGGCGAAAGCCUUGUUACUGUCACUUGGAUUUUUGCCGGCUCUCACGGAUGCUGUGCCCAUUGUUAGCUCUGCGGGCCUCCGUCCCGCAGACUUCGGGAGGUCCCUUGUACGGAUCAUUGCUCUGGCGCUCGACUUGCAUGUCAUCGAUGSUGACAUGUUCGAUCUAUGCGCGAGGAGCAUGCCUAUGUGCAUGCGGAAAGCUUCUCCGAUUGAAUGAGCAGCGAUUGUCGGUUUUCGUCAUGAUACGGGCCUCCCGUUUCGGGUUGGUGCUGGAAAUGACGUGCCGGCUCUCGUUUAAGACGUGC